GUGCUCACUUCAGCAUCACAUAUACUAAAAUUAGAACAAUACAGAGAUUAGCAUGGUCCAUGAGCAAGGAUGGCAUGCAAAUUUGUGAAGCAUUCCAUAUUAAA
Myotis myotis is the source of this 104-nucleotide small nuclear RNA. The record is from RefSeq and is a predicted model, not a curated record. NCBI's taxonomy places the organism in Eukaryota, Metazoa, Chordata, Mammalia, Chiroptera, Vespertilionidae.